GUCUAUAUGAAGUUAUAUAAAGUCUAACCUGCCCAUUGAAUUUUUAAAAGGCCGCGGUAUCCUAACUGUGCAAAGGUAGCAUAAUAAUUAGUUUUUUAAUUGAAAACUUGUAUGAAAGGUUGGACAAAGAAAAAUCUGUCUUUAAUAUUUAUUUUGAACUUUACAUUUAAGUGAAAAGGCUUAAAUUAAUUUAAGGGACGAUAAGACCCUAUAAAUCUUCACAUUUAUUUAUUUUUUAUUAAUUUAGAUUAUUUAUAAAUCAAAAUAUGAAUAUAUGUUUUAUUGGGGUGAUAGAGAUAUAAUUAAAUAACUGUUUUUAAAAAUAUACAAAUAUAAUUGAUUAAACAUAAAGAUCCUUCUUAAAGAUUAAAAGUUUAAGUUACUUUAGGGAUAACAGCGUAAUUUUUUUUGAGAGUUCUUAUCGAAAAAAAAGUUUGCGACCUCGAUGUUGAAUUAAAAAUUCCUUAUAAUGCAGAAGUUAUAAAGGAAAGUCUGUUCGACUUUUAAAUUUU
Molecule: ribosomal RNA, 512 nt
Filed under: Munidopsis sp. 3 PCRF-2022a
Lineage: Eukaryota; Metazoa; Arthropoda; Malacostraca; Decapoda; Munidopsidae
Description: partial large subunit ribosomal RNA
Rfam family: Bacterial large subunit ribosomal RNA
Source: RNAcentral